AGCCUCACUCUAGCCCAGUCACCCCUUCCCCCAAAAAACUUACUCAAACAAACCAACUAAAACAUUCUCCUGUCUAAGUAUAGGCGAUAGAAAAGACGCCCGGAGCAAUAGACCCAAGUACCGCAAGGGAAAGAUGAAAUAACAAUGAAAACCUAAGCAACGAACAGCAAAGACUAACUCUUGUACCUCUUGCAUCAUGAUCUAGCAAGAACAACCAAGCAAAACGAACUUUAAGUUUGCCACCCCGAAACCCAAGCGAGCUACUCACAAGCAGCUAUCCAUGAGCAAACCCGUCUCUGUAGCAGAAGAGUGGGAAGACUUGUUAGUAGCGGUGAAAAGCCUACCGAGCUGGGUGAUAGCUGGUUGCCUGUGAAAAGAAUCUAAGUUCUCCCUUAAUUUUACGCCCAAAGAAGAAAAACUCAACCCACUCACCCGUACUAAAUUAAGAGCAAUUUAAAGGAGGUACAGCUCCUUUAAAAAAGAAUACAACCUCCCCCAUAGGAUAAGCACCCACUUCACCUGAUUGUAGGCCCUCAAGCAGCCACCAAUAAAGAAUGCGUCAAAGCUCUUUACCCCUAAAAAUCCAAAAACACACGCGACUCCCUCCCUCACAACAGGCUAAUCUAUCACAAAUAGAAGUAUUAAUGCUAGAAUAAGUAACUAAGGAACAGCCUUCUAAAGCACAAACUUACAUCACACAUUAUUAACAGACAUACUAAUACCCCAACCACUACAAGAUCAAGUAUUCAAUACAACACUGUUAAACCAACCCAGGAGUGCCCAAUUAGAAAGAUUUAAACCUGUAAAAGGAACUAGGCAAACCCAAGGCCCGACUGUUUACCAAAAACACAGCCUUUAGCUAAACCAAGUAUUAAAGGUGUCGCCUGCCCAGUGACACAUAGUUCAACGGCCGCGGUAUCCUAACCGUGCAAAGGUAGCGCAAUCAAUUGUCUCAUAAAUCGAGACUUGUAUGAAUGGCUAAACGAGGUCUUAACUGUCUCUUACAGGUAAUCAGUGAAAUUGAUCUCCCCGUGCAAAAGCGGGAAUAAACCCAUAAGACGAGAAGACCCUGUGGAACUUAAAAACCAGCGACCACUAUAAACCCAAUAUAAGACCUAAUAGGCACACUACCAGAAACAGCUGGCCCGCAUUUUUCGGUUGGGGCGACCUUGGAGAACAACAUAUCCUCCAAAAAUAAGACAACACCUCUUCACCGAGAUCAACCACUCAACGUACUAAUAGUAACCCGAUCCAGCAUAGCUGAUCAAUGAACCAAGCUACCCCAGGGAUAACAGCGCAAUCCCCUUCAAGAGCCCAUAUCGACAAGGGGGUUUACGACCUCGAUGUUGGAUCAGGACAUCCUAAUGGUGCAGCCGCUAUUAAGGGUUCGUUUGUUCAACGAUUAAUCAGUCCUACGUGAUCUGAGUUCAGACCGGAGCAAUCCAGGUCGGUUUCUAUCUAUGACAGACCUUUCCCAGUACGAAAGGACCGGAAAAGUAAGGCCAAUGCUCCAAGUACGCCUUCCCAGAAAGUAAUGAACAAAUCUAAAUUACCAAAAGGACCCCCAUUACAAUCCUAAACAAGGACA
RNAcentral lists this ribosomal RNA (1588 nucleotides) under Porphyrio hochstetteri (South Island takahe). Its description in RNAcentral is "16S ribosomal RNA". It matches the Rfam family "Bacterial large subunit ribosomal RNA". Lineage: Eukaryota; Metazoa; Chordata; Aves; Gruiformes; Rallidae. The record is from RNAcentral.